ACCUCUCACAGUGGUGUGCAGCUGCCAGGCCCAUAUUGCCCUCCAGUCUAGGGUAUGUGAGCAGCGGCUCCUUGCAGGCCUUCGAAAUUGCCUGCCAGCCCAUCUCAUUCACCCUUGCUCUCCGACAACUGAACCAACCUUGCUGGUGUUGAGUCCUACUUCAAAAAGACUGUGGCUCUCAGGAGAUAGGAAGCGUGGUAUACAGACAAAAACUCAAUGUACAAAGGGAUUAGCACAAAGGAAUAAGAGGAAGGAAAAAGAAGCAAAACAAGAAAACAAAAAACAAAUGAGAGUCAGCACAUCAGGGCACGGGGGCAUGGGAGACACCUUGGAAGCCGUAUCACGUGAGACCUUGGAGUGGCAGCCACUUUAUCAUGCACUGUCUGCCAGGGCUUGAAAACUACAGCAGCAGAGGGGACCUAGAGAUCAGCUCUAUCGGCAGAUGGCUGUGGAGCCAAGAACCAAGGACCAGAUUGUAGGAGGCUGGACUCCUUCAUCUGACUCCUCCACACAGAGAAAAUGAAAGCUGAGAAAAACAUCUGGUCUUCCCCUGCCUUUGAAGAGCAGGGUGAUGGUGAACUCCGCUGAGCUUCUCCUACAGCAACAGAAAACGGGCCAGGUCAGCAGAGUCCACCCAGGCCUGAAGCACUGAUGCCAGGGGUCACAAGUGAGCACAUCACACAGACUCCAAGACCAAAAGGCAGCAGACCAGCAUUACACUCCACGAUGAAGCCGGGAGCUUCCCCAUGCUGGUUAGGAGCUGGAUCUGUGGUCUCCACCUGACUUUGAACAGGUUCCCUAACCCCCCUAGGCCUGGCUUUUCUCAUUUGGACCAAGGACAUCUAAGAAUUGUUGAUUGUUUUUGACUCUUUGGUUCUUUUGGGGGGUGCCACUCAGCACCCAAAUAAAUCUUAUAUGAGGCUUA
Mesocricetus auratus (golden hamster) is the source of this 925-nucleotide long non-coding RNA. RefSeq lists it as uncharacterized. The transcript is spliced from 3 exons. The record is from RefSeq and is a predicted model, not a curated record. Lineage: Eukaryota; Metazoa; Chordata; Mammalia; Rodentia; Cricetidae.